AGAGUUAAUCAUGACGAUGUUCCCGAAGAAGAUGACAUGACUGUGCUGGAAUAAAUGUAGAUAUCAGUAGAUGAAAAAAAAAUAUCCCCUGAAAAUAAUAACACCUUUUUUUUCUGAUGUCUUAUUUUGGGGAAAAUACGGUACUGUUUUCAAUGAGGUCAGUAGUGUUUACAGAGCUCUACACAUAUUUAUAGGGAUGUGAGAUUGUUAUGUAACAGUGAAGUUAGCGUAAAAACCUUAACUAAGUCAAAGCUUUGUGUCUCUCUAUGAUGCAGGUAAUGAUAAUAGAUGCUCCAAUAAUAAAGCGGCUUCUGGAAUAAUACUUCUAUCUUUUAACGUUGCAUGUUUGGUGUGCGCAAGUUAUCCUUUUCACCCACUACGCUAGAAUGAGCCAUGCCACUGAGCAAUGUAGGUCAUGUGCAGGAAUGUGAUUGCAAAACUACGGCUAAGUAAAUCAAGUAUUGAAAGAUAGUAGAAUCACACUCACCUAUAGGAGCAUGCACUGCGAUCCUGAAAUAAAAACUAGGUCAAUGGGGAGUAAAUGCAGAAGGAACAGAAAGAUAGAACGACAUGUAUAGUGUACA
Long non-coding RNA from Pomacea canaliculata, 584 nucleotides. RefSeq lists it as uncharacterized. The transcript is spliced from 2 exons. The record is from RefSeq and is a predicted model, not a curated record. Lineage: Eukaryota; Metazoa; Mollusca; Gastropoda; Architaenioglossa; Ampullariidae.